UAUGAUGAUCUUAUACACACAGUUCUCGCGAUUUUCUCUGAGCGCUUUUGAACUACAUGCACUACCAUCUGA
Molecule: unclassified non-coding RNA, 72 nt
Filed under: Podospora comata
Lineage: Eukaryota; Fungi; Ascomycota; Sordariomycetes; Sordariales; Podosporaceae
Also listed under: 1 other name
Source: RNAcentral